This is a non-coding RNA of Paramuricea clavata, 249 nucleotides long. The record is from the annotation of a GenBank genome assembly. Lineage: Eukaryota; Metazoa; Cnidaria; Anthozoa; Malacalcyonacea; Plexauridae.
CCCCCCUUUUCUCCCAAAACUUAGUAUAAGAGUGCCAAUCAAUCACAAAAAGCUUUAUUAUAAUUAUUACACGUAUAAUCCUCUGACAUCCCCCCACCCCAAAUGUCAGAUGCUUUGCUACGUCCCUGAUGGUUGUAUUCGAAACCGAUUUCAGUUUUAAGAUAUCCUUAGUCUGCUCUUCUAAAUGGAUACAUGAAAUCACCUAUAGCUUAUUUAAAAAUUUUUUGCGCCAGGUUUGUGAAGUAAUUU